RNAcentral lists this ribosomal RNA (497 nucleotides) under uncultured bacterium. RNAcentral describes it as "partial 16S ribosomal RNA". It matches the Rfam family "Bacterial small subunit ribosomal RNA", at positions 28 to 507 of the family's 1533-position model. The record is from RNAcentral.
GAUGAACGCUGGCGGCGUGCCUAAUACAUGCAAGUCGAGCGAACAGAUGAGGAGCUUGCUCCUCUGACGUUAGCGGCGGACGGGUGAGUAACACGUGGAUAACCUACCUAUAAGACUGGGAUAACUUCGGGAAACCGGAGCUAAUACCGGAUAAUAUAUUGAACCGCAUGGUUCAAUAGUGAAAGACGGUUUUGCUGUCACUUAUAGAUGGAUCCGCGCCGCAUUAGCUAGUUGGUAAGGUAACGGCUUACCAAGGCAACGAUGCGUAGCCGACCUGAGAGGGUGAUCGGCCACACUGGAACGGAGACACGGUCCAGACUCCUACGGGAGGCAGCAGCAGGGAAUCUUCCGCAAUGGGCGAAAGCCUGACGGAGCAACGCCGCGUGAGUGAUGAAGGUCUUCGGAUCGUAAAACUCUGUUAUUAGGGAAGAACAAAUGUGUAAGUAACUAUGCACGUCUUGACGGUACCUAAUCAGAAAGCCACGGCUAACUACGUG